AACCGUAUAGGGGAGCCGUAGCGAAAGCGAGUCUUAACUGGGCGCUCAGUCUCUGGAUAUAGACCCGAAACCGGGUGAUCUAGCCAUGGGCAGGUUGAAGGUUGAGUAACAUCAACUGGAGGACCGAACCGACUAAUGUUGAAAAAUUAGCGGAUGACUUGUGGCUAGGGGUGAAAGGCCAAUCAAACUCGGAGAUAGCUGGUUCUCCCCGAAAGCUAUUUAGGUAGCGCCUCGGACGAAUACUACUGGGGGUAGAGCACUGUUAAGGCUAGGGGGUCAUCCCGACUUACCAACCCUUUGCAAACUCCGAAUACCAGUAAGUACUAUCCGGGAGACACACGGCGGGUGCUAACGUCCGUCGUGGAGAGGGAAACAACCCAGACCGCCAGCUAAGGUCCCAAAGUAUUGCUAAGUGGGAAACGAUGUGGGAAGGCUCAGACAGCUAGGAUGUUGGCUUAGAAGCAGCCAUCAUUUAAAGAAAGCGUAAUAGCUCACUAGUCGAGUCGGCCUGCGCGGAAGAUGUAACGGGGCUAAGCAAUACACCGAAGCUGCGGCAAUAUCUUUUAGAUAUUGGGUAGGGGAGCGUUCUGUAAGCCGUUGAAGGUGAAUCGUAAGGUUUGCUGGAGGUAUCAGAAGUGCGAAUGCUGACAUGAGUAACGACAAAGGGGGUGAAAAACCUCCUCGCCGGAAGACCAAGGGUUCCUGUCCAACGUUAAUCGGGGCAGGGUGAGUCGACCCCUAAGGUGAGGCCGAAAGGCGUAAUCGAUGGGAAACGGGUUAAUAUUCCCGUACUUCUGACUAUUGCGAUGGGGGGACGGAGAAGGCUAGGUGGGCCAGGCGACGGUUGUCCUGGUUCAAGUGCGUAGGCUUGAGAGUUAGGUAAAUCCGGCUCUCUCUAAGGCUGAGACACGACGUCGAGCUACUACGGUAGUGAAGUCAUUGAUGCCAUGCUUCCAGGAAAAGCCUCUAAGCUUCAGAUAGUCAGGAAUCGUACCCCAAACCGACACAGGUGGUCGGGUAGAGAAUACCAAGGCGCUUGAGAGAACUCGGGUGAAGGAACUAGGCAAAAUGGUACCGUAACUUCGGGAGAAGGUACGCUCUUGAUGGUGAAGUCCCUCGCGGAUGGAGCUGACGAGAGUCGCAGAUACCAGGUGGCUGCAACUGUUUAUUAAAAACACAGCACUGUGCAAAAUCGCAAGAUGACGUAUACGGUGUGACGCCUGCCCGGUGCCGGAAGGUUAAUUGAUGGGGUUAGCGCAAGCGAAGCUCUUGAUCGAAGCCCCGGUAAACGGCGGCCGUAACUAUAACGGUCCUAAGGUAGCGAAAUUCCUUGUCGGGUAAGUUCCGACCUGCACGAAUGGCGUAAUGAUGGCCACGCUGUCUCCACCCGAGACUCAGUGAAAUUGAAAUCGCUGUGAAGAUGCAGUGUACCCGCGGCUAGACGGAAAGACCCCGUGAACCUUUACUACAGCUUGGCACUGAACAUUGAACCUACAUGUGUAGGAUAGGUGGGAGGCUAUGAAGACGUGACGCCAGUUGCGUUGGAGCCGUCCUUGAAAUACCACCCUUGUAUGUUUGAUGUUCUAACUUAGACCCGUUAUCCGGGUUGAGGACAGUGCCUGGUGGGUAGUUUGACUGGGGCGGUCUCCUCCCAAAGAGUAACGGAGGAGCACAAAGGUGGGCUAAUCACGGUUGGACAUCGUGAGGUUAGUGCAAUGGCAUAAGCCCGCUUAACUGCGAGAAUGACGGUUCGAGCAGGUGCGAAAGCAGGUCAUAGUGAUCCGGUGGUUCUGUAUGGAAGGGCCAUCGCUCAACGGAUAAAAGGUACUCCGGGGAUAACAGGCUGAUACCGCCCAAGAGUUCAUAUCGACGGCGGUGUUUGGCACCUCGAUGUCGGCUCAUCACAUCCUGGGGCUGAAGUCGGUCCCAAGGGUAUGGCUGUUCGCCAUUUAAAGUGGUACGCGAGCUGGGUUUAGAACGUCGUGAGACAGUUCGGUCCCUAUCUGCCGUGGGCGUUGGAAGAUUGAAGGGGGCUGCUCCUAGUACGAGAGGACCGGAGUGGACGAACCUCUGGUGUUCGGGUUGUGUCGCCAGACGCAUUGCCCGGUAGCUAAGUUCGGAAUUGAUAAGCGCUGAAAGCAUCUAAGCGCGAAGCGAGCCCUGAGAUGAGUCUUCCCUGACAGUUUAACUGUCCUAAAGGGUUGUUCGAGACUAGAACGUUGAUAGGCAGGGUGUGUAAGCGUUGUGAGGCGUUGAGCUAACCUGUACUAAUUGCCCGUGAGGCUUAACCAU
RNAcentral lists this ribosomal RNA (2292 nucleotides) under Vibrio cholerae B33. RNAcentral describes it as "bacterial LSU rRNA". It matches the Rfam family "Bacterial large subunit ribosomal RNA", at positions 648 to 2925 of the family's 2925-position model. The record is from RNAcentral. Lineage: Bacteria; Pseudomonadati; Pseudomonadota; Gammaproteobacteria; Vibrionales; Vibrionaceae.